AUGCUCACACCUCCAUCUCCUCCGGCCAGAUCAGCAUGCUCACACCUCCACCUCCUCAGGCCAGAUCAGCAUGCUCACACCUCCAUCUCCUCCGGCCAGAUCAGCAUGCUCACACCUCCAUCUCCUCAGGCCAGGUCAGCAUGCUCACACCUCCAUCUCCUCUGGCCAGAUCAGCAUGCUCACACCUCCAUCUCCUCCGGCCAGAUCAGCAUGCUCACACCUCCAUCUCCUCUGGCCAGAUCAGCAUGCUCACACCUCCAUCUCCUCCGGCCAGAUCAGCAUGCUCACACCUCCAUCUCCUCAGGCCAGAUCAGCAUGCUCACACCUCCAUCUCCUCCGGCCAGAUCAGCAUGCUCACACCUCCAUCUCCUCUGGCCAGAUCAGCAUGCUCACACCUCCAUCUCCUCUGGCCAGAUCAGCAUGCUCACACCUCCAUCUCCUCCGGCCAGAUCAGCAUGCUCACACCUCCAUCUCCUCCGGCAAGAUCAGCAUGCUCACACCUCCAUCUCCUCCGGCCAGAUCAGCAUGCUCACACCUCCAUCUCCUCUGGCCAGAUCAGCAUGCUCACACCUCCAUCUCCUCCGGCCAGAUCAGCAUGCUCACACCUCCAUCUCCUCUGGCCAGAUCAGCAUGCUCACACCUCCAUCUCCUCUGGCCAGAUCAGCAUGCUCACACCUCCAUCUCCUCCGGCCAGAUCAGCAUGCUCACACCUCCAUCUCCUCCGGCCAGAUCAGCAUGCUCACACCUCCAUCUCCUCUGGCCAGAUCAGCAUGCUCACACCUCCAUCUCCUCUGGCCAGAUCAGCAUGCUCACACCUCCAUCUCCUCCGGCCAGAUCAGCAUGCUCACACCUCCAUCUCCUCAGGCCAGAUCAGCAUGCUCACACCUCCAUCUCCUCCGGCCAGAUCAGCAUGCUCACACCUCCAUCUCCUCUGGCCAGAUCAGCAUGCUCACACCUCCAUCUCCUCUGGCCAGAUCAGCAUGCUCACACCUCCAUCUCCUCCGGCCAGAUCAGCAUGCUCACACCUCCAUCUCCUCCGGCCAGAUCAGCAUGCUCACACCUCCAUCUCCUCUGGCCAGAUCAGCAUGCUCACACCUCCAUCUCCUCUGGCCAGAUCAGCAUGCUCACACCUCCAUCUCCUCCGGCCAGAUCAGCAUGCUCACACCUCCAUCUCCUCUGGCCAGAUCAGCAUGCUCACACCUCCAUCUCCUCUGGCCAGAUCAGCAUGCUCACACCUCCAUCUCCUCCGGCCAGAUCAGCAUGCUCACACCUCCAUCUCCUCCGGCCAGAUCAGCAUGCUCACACCUCCAUCUCCUCUGGCCAGAUCAGCAUGCUCACACCUCCAUCUCCUCCGGCCAGAUCAGCAUGCUCACACCUCCAUCUCCUCCGGCCAGAUCAGCAUGCUCACACCUCCAUCUCCUCAGGCCAGAUCAGCAUGCUCACACCUCCAUCUCCUCCGGCCAGAUCAGCAUGCUCACACCUCCAUCUCCUCUGGCCAGAUCAGCAUGCUCACACCUCCAUCUCCUCUGGCCAGAUCAGCAUGCUCACACCUCCAUCUCCUCUGGCCAGAUCAGCAUGCUCACACCUCCAUCUCCUCUGGCCAGAUCAGCAUGCUCACACCUCCAUCUCCUCUGGCCAGAUCAGCAUGCUCACACCUCCGUCCCUAGUGCCUUUAUUAUUGUUCGCCACAUGGCCUUACAUUGUACCAAUUAG
RNAcentral lists this long non-coding RNA (1713 nucleotides) under Oncorhynchus kisutch (coho salmon). RNAcentral's name for it is "lncRNA (ENSOKIG00005002708.1)". The record is from RNAcentral. Lineage: Eukaryota; Metazoa; Chordata; Actinopteri; Salmoniformes; Salmonidae.